AUGCAAUACUAUAGAAAAAUGCCCACCCACCCUCCACCCCCUCCCAGCCCCGCCCCGGCGCCGGCGGCCGUGGCCCCCUCGGCCUCCCACGCCGGCCUGCCUGCCGCCUCCUGGUGCAUGCCGCUCCCGUCCCCGCUGUCGGGGCCGCCGGCAGCUGUUUCGGCGCGUGUUGCUCCCCUGCCGCUGCUGUCGGGGGGCUCCUGGGCGGAUCUGGUGUCGCCGCCGUCCCAUGGUCGCUGCAUUGUUGCCGCGUCUGGAUCCGAGUUCGUCCCCGAGUCGCCGCUGGGUUCUGGCCCGCUGGUGACCGGCUCAGUCGCUCCUCCCCCCGAAUCGGCUCGCCCUGAGCCUGGAUCCGGCAUUCACUGCGAGGUGGGUGCGGGCAUUCACUCCGCGUCGGGAACGCUCUCCAGCCCAUCUCCAGCAGCAACGUGCGCGGGGCGCGAGGCGGAUGUGACCGGUGCUUGGCAGCUCGUCACGUCGCGGCGAGGCCCGCGCCUCCCGGCUUUGCCUGGCCAAGCAUUCAUGCCGUCCACCCUCCCAUGGUGGCUUAAAGGGCGCUGCUGCCGUUGCCUUGCUCCUGGACAUCGCGCCUCAGCUUGUCGUGACCCAUUCCGCUGCUCUCGCUGCCUUCAAAAUGGUCACCGAGCCAGGGGCUGCAAUAAAAAGUGGCGCCCGUUAAGUUCCCUGCCGUGCCUCGCCUUCGUCCCCCCACCGCCGCUUCCCCGACCAGCUGCUACUGUAGACUGCAUCCCGACUCCCGUCUUUGGGCCUGGACGGGGCCGGCCUCUCCCUCAGCCCCGUCAGAAGCUGCUGUCCGACUGCUCCAACCAUGCAAUGCCAAGGCUGGAUGAUGCGGCCAACCGGCCGGAGGAGGACUUCGUCGUCGUCUCAGCCACGCCGGAGAUGCAGGCGGAGUCGGCGCUGCUCUCCACCAAUGCAGCGGUGGCGUGGUUUGAGGGAGCCCGCGAGGAUGUCCCAUGCCACGCCGUCGCAGUUGCAUUCGCCUCCACCUUUGGCUUCCGUCAGGCGGCCGUGAGUGUGGUGCGGCACUUCCCCGAGCAGUAUCUCGUCAGGUUUAUGUACCAAACACAAUUGUGCCGACGCGGUCAACCGCGGCGACUUCCUCGUCGGCAACUCCUCCCUCUUCGUCCGCGCUUGGAGGCUCGAGGCGCACGCUGA
This 1179-nucleotide ribosomal RNA is filed under the name Triticum aestivum (bread wheat). RNAcentral's name for it is "partial small subunit ribosomal RNA". The record is from RNAcentral. Lineage: Eukaryota; Viridiplantae; Streptophyta; Magnoliopsida; Poales; Poaceae.